AACGAACGCUGGCGGCAUGCCUAACACAUGCAAGUCGAACGGGAACUUCGGGUCUAGUUGCGCACGGGUGCGUACCGCGGGGGAACCUGCCCUUAGGUACGGUAUACCUCCCCGAAAGGGGUGCUAAUAACGCGUAAUCUCUUCCUACCAACGAUUUAUCGCCUUUGGGUGGGGCCGCGUUGGAUUAGCUAGUUGGUAGGGUACAAGCCAACCAAGGCGAGGUUCCUUAGCUGGUCGGGGAGGAGGAUCAGCCGCACUGGGACUGCGACACGGCCCAGAAUGCGACGGAGGGGAGGAGUGGGGAAUAUUAGACAAGGGGCGAAAGCGUGGUGCAGCAAUGUGGGGGGAGUGAGGAAGGGCGUAGGGUUGUAAAGCUCGUUUACACGAGAUGAUAAUGACAGUACCGGGAGAAGAAGCACCGGCUAACUCCGUG
Molecule: ribosomal RNA, 433 nt
Filed under: uncultured bacterium
Lineage: Bacteria
Description: partial 16S ribosomal RNA
Rfam family: Bacterial small subunit ribosomal RNA
Source: RNAcentral